This 1418-nucleotide small RNA is filed under the name Pan troglodytes (chimpanzee). RNAcentral describes it as "retained intron". The record is from RNAcentral. Lineage: Eukaryota; Metazoa; Chordata; Mammalia; Primates; Hominidae.
CUCUGCCUUCCAGCCAGAUAUUGUCAUUGCAGCAGGUAAUGCCCAGCCCCGGGCAUCCUGUGCAGGUGGUGUCCUUGCAGCUCUACCCAGCUCUUGGCUCUGGGAAAAGGGAACAAUGGACGCUGUCGGGCAUGGACAUGAUGGGGCUUCCAGAAGAGUUACUCUGGGCCUCCAGGGUGACAUCAAAGGACAGGGGUGCCUCUUAAGGUGACCUUCAAGCCACAGCCCUCUUGGAGACAGGCAUACUCCCGUUACAGUCGUCGGCACAUAGCUCUGUCCCAGAGCCAUGCCCUGUGUCCUUCAGAGACCACAGGAGGAAAACAACCACUUCUGGGACGAGGACAGGGCCCUUGAGAGAAGGUGGUGUUUGGCUGGGCCACCAAAAACCCCUCGCCCCUGCCAGCACACUCAGUCCCCUCUCUGGUGGAGCAGAGCUCUGCCUGUGGUCCUGGGUCCCAGCCCUGAAAACCACAGGUCCAGCGGUGGCCAGGGACACAGGCCCACCCCUGCAAGCCAGCAGACCAAUCGGCAGACACCUGAAACACGAAGUUCACGGCAGGGUCAGGCUUUCUGUCAUUCAAAGCCCUCUAGAGAGGCCGAGAACCAGAGCUGGUUUUUUAAGGAACACCAGUGAGUCUGGAGAUUUUUUUCUUUUGCUUCGGUCUUUUGCAGCUUUCUCUACUAAGGGUUCUCCUUUUUCACCCAAGUAAUUGCCUUUCCAUCUAAUGGCCCAAAUAGUCAAAUGGCAUCUAAUAGUCUCAUAGGACCGCUGCCUCUCUGGCCUCGCCCUGCUCCUGAGGUCAGCAUGAACUGGAACUUUCCACUUGUCCCUUUCAGUAACCUGAAGCUUUCACCGUAGACAUGCUGUAUUGCCCAGAAGCCAUCGUGUCGCUGGUCGGGGUCCUGUGGAGGCUGGCUGCCUGCCAGGAGCACAAGCGGACUCCUGAGGUCUACAUGGCCUUUACCGUCCACAACCCAGAGACGUGCCAGCUGUUCACCACCAAGCUAGCUGAGCCCCCACGCCCACCCGGGCCUGCAUGGUCCCUGAGCUGUCCCUGCAGGACUCCAGUGGAAGUGAAAGAACUGGGCGCCGGGGAAAAGCUAGGAUGUCCCACACUCCCACACCAUGCAGGGAACUCGGGCACAGGCCUGCCGGGCCGGGAUCAGAUGGGAAGCGGAAGCUCAUCAUGACCAGAAACUGUUACCCUACGGAGAGCACUUGGAGAUGGCAAUGCUGAACCUCACACUGUAGGACUCACACACGACUCUAACGGGAUUGUGAGAAUCAAGUCACUCUCGUGGGAAGAAUUUUUAUAUGGGAAAGCGGCUAAAACUUUCAUUGGACUGGAAUGUUUGGAAAAUGUUAAAUUCCAAAUCAGGAACCACAAACUGCCCUCUAAUAAGACAUCAGCUAUCUA